GCCCCGGCUCCUGGCUUUUCAGGCCUCUUGCGCGUCGACCCCCAGCUCCCAAGACGGUUGCCUGCGGGACCAGGGCCCCCGUUGCCUGCGCGCCUACGCGGGCCUGGUGGGUACGCAUGGUUGGGAUCCGGGCGUCGGCCGGGGCUCUCCAGAAGAUGCCUCUGCCAGUGUGGGCCGAUGACCCCUCCUUUGGGAUCCCCCAGGCACCGCGAUCACCCCCAACUACGUGGACAACACGAGCGCGCGGGUGGCUCCCUGGUGCGACUGCAGAGCCAGCGGAAACCGGCAUGAGGAGUGCGAAGCCUUCCGGGGGCUCUUUACAAGGAACCGCUGCUUGGGUGAGGGGCAGGGAUGGCGCGAGAGCCCGGGUGACCGCCUGGCUGGCAGAGUCUCUUUUAGAGGGAAGGAAACUGAGGCUUCUUGAGGCAGCCACUCAAGCACAUUCCCUCCUCUGCUAUCUGUCAUCGUACCCCUGUGGGAAACGUGCCCCGCUGUCUCUGGAGACCAGGUCACAGAAUCCUAGUAGUGUCAAGGCAGAGGUCCCUAAGGUCGGGAGGGGGCAAGAGUUAAAACAAGUUGCUCAGGGCCUGGGAUUGACCAAGGGGAGACUUCUACUUCCAGCACUUCCGAUUCCUUUCUUAUGUGCUACCUCCCUCCUCUGGUGAGCUCCUCUCAUGGGGUCCUAAUGUCUUAAUGGUCUGAGAGUUAGGGAUCCUGAGUUUGAAACCUGACUCUGCCACUUUCUAGCUGAAAGUUUGUUAAUUCCUGUAAGCCUUUUUAUGUUCAUCUGUAAAAUGGGGGUAUAAUUGUCACCUCCUAUCGGGAUGGAAGACUAGUGAGUCACUCUGGGAACAGUCGUCCUUAUUUUGUUAUUCCUUAGCAUGCACCUCCCAUUUGUCCCAGAAGCCAUUCCUUGAAGAUGCCAGGGGAACUUGCUGUGCUUGGGGUUCCCAGUCAAGCUCACCCUGGACCCCUUCCUCCAUAGAUGGUGCCAUACAAUCCUUUGACAGCCAAUGGCCCCCAAUCCUGCAGGACCAGCUGGAUUCCCACCACAACCCUGGGCAGCGCCUCUUACAGGUAGGUGCAGUCAGUUCCUGCACUGCCGCUUUCUGAGAUUUCCCACCCAGACCUGCAGAGAUGGAAGCCUGAUUGGCUUGGGGAUGGGGUGCAGGUAGAAAGCAAUGCCAGGCUCCUAUCUCCAGUCCUCACUCUGCUCCAACUCCUAAGGUGUCCUCCGCUGACAGGCCCCUGGAAGGGAGCUCCUUGCAGUCCAUACUCCCUGUUCUGGCUCUCCAGUCCUUGCUCUAAGACAGCAGACCUUGGACCACAAGGUGACUACACAUUACUGCCUGGGGUUCAGGACCAUGUCUCUGGUUUAUUGCCCCCUGAAAAGUGACUGGCUAGCCCUCCCACCUGCCCUUUGCCCAUCUGGACACCUGUGUGCCCAUGCCCUGGAGUGAGGGUUGGAGACUGGGGGCCUGACAGCAAAAACCCUGGUUUUCUGUCAAUAGUCAUCUUGGUUGUAGGUCCCUUUCUUCAUAGACCUUGAGACAACUGGAUUCUCUCACUGGGGAGGCACAGGAGAGGGUCACCUUUGCAGAGGCCUCACUAGCAUCCCAAGAUUACCAUCUGGACUCCUGGAACUCUAAGAAACUGUGUCAGCCUCCCAGGCAGGUAGCACCCUAAGGAAUGCAUGGAAAUAGACUCCCUCUAGCACUGCAGCCUUUGAGGGCAUCCUCCCAGAUAGGCAAAAACUGCACCCCAGAACUAAUGUUGGCAGAGUGAUUCCUGUCCAUGAUAUGCUGCUUGGUGGGCACCCCCUGGAGUGAAAGAAUCCAGUCCCUACCCUGCCCCUGCUUUGAACUGGCACUUGGUCAUCCAUUUUCCCCCAUGGUUUCCCCAGCACUAGAAAUAGUGCUGUGCUCAAUAAACCCACAUGCACUGAGACUGACGUUGUUUUCA
RNAcentral lists this long non-coding RNA (1962 nucleotides) under Marmota monax (woodchuck). The record is from RNAcentral. Lineage: Eukaryota; Metazoa; Chordata; Mammalia; Rodentia; Sciuridae.